This is a non-coding RNA of Cricetulus griseus (Chinese hamster), 277 nucleotides long. Lineage: Eukaryota; Metazoa; Chordata; Mammalia; Rodentia; Cricetidae. The record is from RefSeq and is a predicted model, not a curated record.
CAGGAAGCCAUGAUUAUCCAGCUAAGAAGAUGAAAACGGCCGAGAAGGGACUUGGCUUAGUAGCUUAUGCGGCAGACUCCUCAGAUGAAGAGGAGGAACAUGGAGGCCAUAAAAAUGCAAGUAGCUUUCCACAGGGCUGGAGUUUGGGCUAUCAGUACCCUUCAUCACAGCCAAGAGCCAAGCAGCAGAUGCCGUUCUGGAUGGCCCCAUAAGAAAUAGGGGCAGACCUUUGAUGCUCGGUGACUCUUCUUAGCAAUAAUGCAUGCACUUGAUUAAA